This 854-nucleotide long non-coding RNA is filed under the name Brassica rapa (field mustard). RNAcentral's name for it is "long non-coding RNA (BRAP_LNC000015)". Lineage: Eukaryota; Viridiplantae; Streptophyta; Magnoliopsida; Brassicales; Brassicaceae. The record is from RNAcentral.
AUGAUAUCAAUUAAAUGUUUAUUUUUUUGUUAGAUAGAUUAUAAUCUAUAGUCUUUACCAUUAUGUAAACGAGUUUAAACUCAUUUAACCUACCUCGUUACUUGAAUAUAAGAAACUAUAAUUUAAAUAAGAAAUUUUUAAUUUUAUUAUACAAGAAACAUGAAUCUUUUAUAUACAUACCUUCACUAUGGAUCUUUAUAAGAACUGUCAUUUAGCUAUGUAAUCAUUCAUAAUAGAAAAUGUAAAAAGAAAAUUGGUUGUUUGGUUAGCAGAUUUAAUGUUUUUUAAGUUUUUUUUUUUUGAAAAAUGUUUUUUUUUAAAGUUUUAAUGUAAUUUAAUAUGUUUCUUAAUUACUAGGAUAUUAACUAUAGUUACCAAACUCAAUACUCUUUCAAAAGUUGACAAAAUAUGUAGCAUAUAGCUUUCCUAAUAUAUUCAGCAUUGAAUUAAUAUUCAAAUUAAUAAUAACUUUUUCUUUUCUUUUUGAAUUUAGAUCAUUGAUGUGAGCAUCUAUCGGUCACGGCGAAGACCGACAACCCAAAAAAAAAACCUCAUGAAGUUUUCAUGGGACUCUCUCUCGCGUUAGUUGUGAAUUGUGAUCUCUCUCCAUCGCGAUAACAUGUGUGCCAACCAGAGACUUCUUCUCUUUCCUUUAAUAACAAUAAACUCUUAUGCAUGGAAAGUUCAAGUCCAACGAAAGACUUUCAUCUUUCUAAACUCUUCGAAGUUCAAACUUAACCCCAUAUAGUCAUUGCGGUAAUUAAAAGUCAAUAAACAUUUGUAUCUUACUGGAUAUUUAUGCAUAUUUUUAUAGCUAAAGAUAAGUUGUCAUACAAACAUCUCUGUCAUCAAAA